Molecule: long non-coding RNA, 616 nt
Filed under: Helianthus annuus (common sunflower)
Lineage: Eukaryota; Viridiplantae; Streptophyta; Magnoliopsida; Asterales; Asteraceae
Description: hypothetical non coding rna
Source: RNAcentral
GCAAGUCUGCAGUGCGCGAAGAGUGGGGUAGGAUGUCCGGCGCGAGACGGUGGUUGUCCUGGCAAGACGCGCAUGUACCUACGCGGUGGAGUAUAACCGGCAAUGGACGCGCAUGCCUGGCCGCGGAGGAGGGUGUCCACAAGAGGGUGCGGCGCGAGGUAAUGCUUGUCCGGCAAGACGCGCGCGUGCCUGUGCAGUGGGGUAUGACCGGAAAAGGACGCGCAUGCCUGGCCACGGAGGAGUGUGUCCACAAGAGGGUGCGACGCGAGGUGAUGCUUGUCCGGCAAGACGCGCGCAUGCCUGUGCAGUGGAGUAUGACCGGCAAAGGACGCGCAUGCCUGCGCGGAGGAGUGUGUCCACAAGAGGGUGCAGCGCAAGGUGAUGCUUGUCCGGCAAGACGAGCGCGUGCCUGUGCAGUGGAGUAUGACCGGCAAGAGGCACGCGUGCCUGCGCGGCGGAGUAUGCCCGACAAUAGGUGCGUGUAUGACUGGCAAGAGGCGCACAUGCCUGCGCGGAGGUGUAUGUUUGGCAAGACACGUGCGUACCUACGCAGCGGAGUGUACUUUCGACAAGCGCGAGAUGGCAGAGCGUGCGACAGUCAAGCUUGCCACUCCUC